RNAcentral lists this ribosomal RNA (522 nucleotides) under uncultured bacterium. RNAcentral describes it as "bacterial SSU rRNA". It matches the Rfam family "Bacterial small subunit ribosomal RNA", at positions 988 to 1509 of the family's 1533-position model. The record is from RNAcentral.
CCAGAGAACUUAGCAGAGAUGCUUUGGUGCCUUCGGGGAACUCUGAGACAGGUGCUGCAUGGCUGUCGUCAGCUCGUGUUGUGAAAUGUUGGGUUAAGUCCCGCAACGAGCGCAACCCUUAUCCUUUGUUGCCAGCGGUCCGGCCGGGAACUCAAAGGAGACUGCCAGUGAUAAACUGGAGGAAGGUGGGGAUGACGUCGAGUCAUCAUGGCCCUUACGAGUAGGGCUACACACGUGCUACAAUGGCGCAUACAAAGAGAAGCGACCUCGCGAGAGCAAGCGGACCUCAUAAAGUGCGUCGUAGUCCGGAUUGGAGUCUGCAACUCGACUCCAUGAAGUCGGAAUCGCUAGUAAUCGUAGAUCAGAAUGCUACGGUGAAUACGUUCCCGGGCCUUGUACACACCGCCCGUCACACCAUGGGAGUGGGUUGCAAAAGAAGUAGGUAGCUUAACCUUCGGGAGGGCGCUUACCACUUUGUGAUUCAUGACUGGGGUGAAGUCGUAACAAGGUAGGCGUACGUGU